GAAGCCGCAAGGUCGCCAGAGACGGGUCCGCGUCCCAUCAGCUAGUUGGUGAGGUAAUGGCUCACCAAGGCGAAGACGGGUAGCUGGUCUGAGAGGAUGAUCAGCCACACUGGAACUGAGACACGGUCCAGACUCCUACGGGAGGCAGCAGGUGGGGAAUAUUGCGCAAUGGGCGAAAGCCUGACGCAGCCACGCCGCGUGAGCGAUGAAGGUCUUCGGAUCGUAAAGCUCUGUGGGGGGAGAAGAAGAAAGUCGGUGAAGAGCCGGCCCUGACGGUAUCCCCUUAGCAAGCACCGGCUAACUCCGUGCCAGCAGCCGCGGUAAUACGGAGGGUGCAAACGUUGCUCGGAAUCAUUGGGCGUAAAGCGCGCGUAGGCGGCUGAACAAGUUGGAUGUGAAAGCCCUGGGCUCAACCUAGGAUGUGCAUUCAAAACUGUUCGGCUUGAGUCUCGGAGGGGGUCAGAGAAUUCUCGGUGUAGAGGUGAAAUUCGUAGAUAUCGGGAGG
Molecule: ribosomal RNA, 505 nt
Filed under: uncultured bacterium
Lineage: Bacteria
Description: bacterial SSU rRNA
Rfam family: Bacterial small subunit ribosomal RNA
Source: RNAcentral